GGGGAAUCACGUGGUCGGUGUGUGGCGGGCUGAGGUGUAACCAGGGGCAGCUCAUGUAUUCAGCUUCACAUUAAUGGAUGUUUGCACUACUCUGCUGGGAGGCGGAUGCCCAGGCCACGGAAUGAGACACAAAAAAAGACAGGUUUGUUUUCAAAAUAAAUAAUUAUAUUCAUAAA
This is a long non-coding RNA of Spea bombifrons (plains spadefoot toad), 176 nucleotides long. RefSeq lists it as uncharacterized. The record is from RefSeq and is a predicted model, not a curated record. The transcript is spliced from 2 exons. Lineage: Eukaryota; Metazoa; Chordata; Amphibia; Anura; Pelobatidae.